UCGACAGUAACGUGUCUGUAAUAAGACUUAUUACAGACGCGUAGAAUAAGCGUCUGUAGUAAGAAUCUAACUACAGAUAUGUUUACUUAAAUACGUCCACAAAGAUUAUGGUCAUAAGCCCCCGCCCCCCACUUUAUGGAAGUAGAAUGGAAGGCCCACCAUCUUCACUGGAUAACAUUACUAGUGGUUUCACUCUUUGAUCUUUGAUGUACAAUUGAGAUAAGGUCGACUCGAUGUAUUCUCAAAAUAGUUGGUGAAGAACCAAAUAAAGUCACUCGGUCGGUCAAUGCAACCAAGUCCUCCCUAUAAAUACAUAUCUCCUCACAGUUGCAAUGCCUUCUGACCACCAAGAAUGGUAGCAGAGGAUGGAGACAUCCUAGAGCAUAUGGACUGCCAUCACUUUAAUUUGUUGUGUAUGCUUCUAUGGACUGGGACGUGGAAGGCACUCAGUAGACAAGAUGAUGUCAGCAAUUGACUUGCUCAACAUGUCUUCCAUUCCCUCUCUACAUGUAAUUGGCUAGGUCCUCAAACAAGCCCGUUGUAACAGGUAACAUCGACUAAGUUGUACAUUUGUGCGCGACCAACACAUUCAAUCGGAGCAGUGACAAAUGAAGCAAGCGACUGGUUGCACUUGCAUCUCUGUAGGGACCCUGAUGCCAUCAGAGAAUGAUAGUACAAUGUAAGAGCACCUUGGAGUUAUUGGGCUUUUAUUGUUGCUUCACAAGCCUCGACCUAAUGAUUCGCGAAAUAGGCAGUCUUGGAUUGUUGUAUAUAUCUACCUGCAAUGCGUAGGUCCAUCUUCUAAUCAGAUAGAUCAGUUGCCAGAUAGAGCAGUUGCCUUUACAGGGAACUAUGCAUGCCUUGAGCCCAUGAGUGGUGGUGCCGUGAAUGCUUAAAUGCCAAUGUACACCAUCCAUAAUAGUAAUUGUGUGCACCUUAAGACCUAAAUUGAUAUUUGUAUAAAAAAACAAAAGGAGAUCUUAGAAUAAAGUGUGUAAUAAGCAGCAUCGAUAACAUGUUGCUGAAAAUGGUACAAAAAUGGUCCUAAAAAAACAAAACCACCAAAACACUUGUGUUCUGCAGGGAGUUUGGUGCCACAGACUGCAAAUUGUCCUUUGACAUUUGAUUUGACACCAUGACAUGCUCAAUCUGAUGGUAGUGUCAUUUCGGGAACAAAAAUUUGAAGAGAUGCCAUAUAAGGAAGAUCUCAAGUUUCAGUGCUAUAUUCGGAACAAGUUUUUUGGUGUCAAAUCAGGAAUUUUCUACAAAUAAAAUUGGAAAGAGGACACUCAAAUGUAGAGAAAUCAAAAUCAAUGUUUAUUUUUUGUUUUCCAAUCCCUUCUUGGUAAAGACGUCCAAGGCCACAACCUCCAAUGAUUUCCUUGCCUUGCAGAUUUUUUUCCCUUGUGCUAGCUCUCACGCUGCAGUGUCACCCAAAACUGCAGCUAGUAUGACCCCUAAAUAUAGCCUGCAUAAAAGUGGUAUUUUGUUUUUUGUCAAUAAUAAUGUCAUUAUGAGUACACAAAAUUGCCCAAAUAGUAGCAACAACACACCACAAAAAUCAAAUUUCUUUCCACCCGUGUCUCAGGAGAUGUCCAUUGGUAUUUAAGCUAGAUCAGUGUCCUGGUUCUAAGUUCCCAGCAUCUCAACUGAACACCAUUGAAGAUACUAGUACUGGAAAUAUUUCUCUUAUUUAAUCUUUGUUGGAUAUCUUGUUGAGAAUGGUCCUGCAGGUGGUUGAGAAACUAAAGCCGCUGAGUCAAAUCUUUGCAACUCUGCUACUACAUGUUGUCUAUAAAUAACUACCUCUUCCUCAUAGUCAGUGUGCCUUGUGACCAAUGAGAAUGCUAGAUAAUACUGACUGCCACAUCACUACACCACAGCCUAAAUAUAGCGUCGAACGGUGGGUCGUUAUAAGCUGUUUCAACGACUUACGGUCUGACGUUAUAAACUUAUAACGACAGAUAUAUCAGCCGUUGAUACUGGC
Molecule: long non-coding RNA, 1987 nt
Filed under: Sorghum bicolor (sorghum)
Lineage: Eukaryota; Viridiplantae; Streptophyta; Magnoliopsida; Poales; Poaceae
Description: long non-coding RNA (SBIC_LNC015365)
Source: RNAcentral